GAAUAAAUGUAUUUACACCAAAAAGAAGGAACCACAAAAUAAAGGCACUUCUUUGUGAGUGGAAAUGUCUUUACAUCACAUUGAUAGGGUGAUUAUUUAAGUGCAAAAAAUUAUACUUUGACUUGCACAACACUGCAUCUUAACACCUAAUAUGUUGAUGUGAUAUCACAGCAAACGAUCAGAUAGAUUAACUGAGCUGUGUCCCAACCAUGGUCGUUUCGUCUUUAUAUUAUUUUUCAUAUUUGAGCAAGGCUGAUUUUUUGUUGAAAGUGAUGUUUCAUUGAAACUGUGGGAAAGUACAUUUACGGGACAUUUAUGAACGUUUAAAGGACCCUCUGAAUUGUGGUUUGUUUCUUCUGCGCAGGCUGAAGAGGAAGUAACAUACAGUGUCGUGAAGCCCAGGAGGAAACCUUCACGCCAGGUUGAAGCAGAUGAGGAGAAUGUCACAUACAGCACGUUGGCUUUGGACUAGUUCUGCUGAGCACACGUGACGCCUGUUUGUUCCACCUUGUCCCUACUUAUAAUGUUCUGCAUGUAUUUAGAAAGAAGCCUUUCCCUGUUUGUUUGCAACGUGUUUCAGCAUAUGUUUGAAUACACAACUCUUGGCUUUAAAUGUUGUGUCAUUAUUCAAUAGUGUUGGAAUAUGUUCAUUAUGUCCUCAGUUGUGGUGAUGGUGUAGUACAGUGCUGAUCUGUGUUGUGCAUGAGCCACAAGGGGGCACUCGUUUGCUUUGCUGUUUUGUUUGUCCCAAAAUGUUUUUGCCGUUUUAUAUGAAGAAGUAAUGAAGGCUGUCUGACCGUGAGACUGAUGUGUCAGCGGCAGCUCGUGAAAUAAAUAUGCCGAAGACGGCUAAAGAUG
Gasterosteus aculeatus aculeatus (three-spined stickleback) is the source of this 858-nucleotide non-coding RNA. The record is from RefSeq and is a predicted model, not a curated record. NCBI's taxonomy places the organism in Eukaryota, Metazoa, Chordata, Actinopteri, Perciformes, Gasterosteidae.